CCUACGGGAGGCAGCAGUGAGGAAUAUUGGUCAAUGGGCGCGAGCCUGAACCAGCCAAGUCGCGUGAGGGAAGACGGUCCUAUGGAUUGUAAACCUCUUUUGUCGGGGAGCAAAAGACGCCACGCGUGGCGUUCCGAGAGUACCCGAAGAAAAAGCAUCGGCGAACACCGUGCCAGCAGCCGCGGUAAUACGGAGGAUGCGAGCGUUAUCCGGAUUUAUUGGGCGUAAAGCGCUCGUAGGCGGGAUGUCAAGUCAAGGGUGAAAUCCCCGCGCCAAAAGUGGGAACUGCCUUUGAAACUGGGAAACUGGAGUGUGUGAGAGGUUAGUGGAAUUCCAGGUGUAGGAGUGAAAUCCGUAGAUAUCAGGAGGAACAUCAGUGGCGAAGGCGACUAUCUGGCACAUAACUGACGCUGAGGAGCGAAAGCGUGGGUAGCAAACAGGAUUAGAUACCCUAGUAGUC
Molecule: ribosomal RNA, 460 nt
Filed under: uncultured bacterium
Lineage: Bacteria
Description: partial 16S ribosomal RNA
Rfam family: Bacterial small subunit ribosomal RNA
Source: RNAcentral